Long non-coding RNA from Cotesia glomerata, 821 nucleotides. RefSeq lists it as uncharacterized. The record is from RefSeq and is a predicted model, not a curated record. The transcript has 3 exons. Lineage: Eukaryota; Metazoa; Arthropoda; Insecta; Hymenoptera; Braconidae.
UGGCGUCGAGAUCGAACAUGUAGACUGCAUCAAAGACCUUGGUGUCUUAAUUGACAACAAGCUUAUGUUCACCAAACAUGUAGACAAAAUCACACUCCAAGCCCUCAAAAUCCUAGGCCUUGUCACAAGAACAUGUAGAGACUUCAACUACCCGCAUACUACGGUUAACCUAUACCUUACUCUAGUUCUGCCGAUUUUGGAAUACUGUUCGGUCAUCUGGUCACCUUACACUGAUAUCUUAACCAAGCAGCUUGAGAGAAUUCAAGACAAGCUAUGUAAAUAUCUCUCAAAUACAUGCUGGUCGCGAGCUAAUGCCUCCACUUUAGAUGAUCUUCGCAAGCACUUCAAAUUAAACAAUUUGACUAAUCGUCGUCAGGUCGCCGACAUGGCUUUUUUUUACAAGGUGGUCAAUGGAAUCAUUGACGCCCCGGACAUCUGCAGCAGCUUCGAAUUUGCGCCUGCCAACAUAAUGUUGAGGCGCAAAAGGUUACUGAAAACUACUAAGUCUUCAAAAAACUAUGUGGUGAAUGGACCUCAUGACAGAAUAGCAAACCUGGUGAAUAAAUUAAAUGGCGAAGUGGAAUUCUACGGUGGUACCUUCAGUGCUUUUAUGUCAAACAUUAAAAAACAGUUACUUAUGUACACAUAAACUACACAAAAUUUUCUUUUUCUCGUUCUCUGCUUCAACUUAAAUCAUAAUUUAAUUUUCUUUAAUUUAUAAAAAUAGCAGCAGACGUUAUGGAUAUUUCACCGGUUAUGAUGGUGAAGACAAAAAGCAGUAUGGCGACCCCGAUCGGCAUUUCCAUAACCAAAAAAAAUCU